GUUCCAGACUCCUACGGGAGGCAGCAGUAGGGAAUUUUGCGCAAUGGGGGAAACCCUGACGCAGCAACACCGCGUGAAUGUUAAGCCCUUCAGGGUGUAAAGUUCUGUCAAUAGGGACGAAUUUUGACUGUACCUAUAAAGGAAGCACCGGCUAACUCCGUGCCAGCAGCCGCGGUAAUACGGAGGAUGCGAGCGUUAUCCGGAUUUAUUGGGUUUAAAGGGUGCGUAGGCGGAAUGCCAAGUCAGCGGUAAAAUCGCGGGGCUCAACCUCGCUCCGCCGUUGAAACUGGCGUUCUUGAGUGGGCGAGAAGUAUGCGGAAUGCGUGGUGUAGCGGUGAAAUGCAUAGAUAUCACGCAGAACUCCGAUUGCGAAGGCAGCAUACCGGCGCCCAACUGACGCUGAAGCACGAAAGCGUGGGUAUCGAACAGGAUUAGAUACCCCCGUAA
Molecule: ribosomal RNA, 447 nt
Filed under: uncultured bacterium
Lineage: Bacteria
Description: bacterial SSU rRNA
Rfam family: Bacterial small subunit ribosomal RNA
Source: RNAcentral